This 254-nucleotide ribosomal RNA is filed under the name uncultured bacterium. RNAcentral describes it as "partial 16S ribosomal RNA". It matches the Rfam family "Bacterial small subunit ribosomal RNA", at positions 524 to 776 of the family's 1533-position model. The record is from RNAcentral.
UACGGGGGGAGCAAGCGUUGUUCGGAUUUACUGGGCGUAAAGGGCGCGUAGGCGGCCUCCGCAAGUCGACUGUGAAAUCUCCGGGCUUAACCCGGAAAGGUCAGCCGAAACUGCGGGGCUAGAGUGCAGAAGGGGCAACUGGAAUUCUCGGUGUAGCGGUGAAAUGCGUAGAUAUCGAGAGGAACACCUGCGGCGAAGGCGGGUUGCUGGGCUGACACUGACGCUGAAGCGCGAAAGCUAGGGGAGCGAACGGG